GGUUAAGCGACUAAGCGUACACGGUGGAUGCCCUGGCAGUCAGAGGCGAUGAAGGACGUGCUAAUCUGCGAUAAGCGUCGGUAAGGUGAUAUGAACCGUUAUAACCGGCGAUUUCCGAAUGGGGAAACCCAGUGUGAUUCGUCACACUAUCAUUAACUGAAUCCAUAGGUUAAUGAGGCGAACCGGGGGAACUGAAACAUCUAAGUACCCCGAGGAAAAGAAAUCAACCGAGAUUCCCCCAGUAGCGGCGAGCGAACGGGGAGGAGCCCAGAGCCUGAAUCAGUGUGUGUGUUAGUGGAAGCGUCUGGAAAGGCGCGCGAUACAGGGUGACAGCCCCGUACACAAAAAUGCACAUACUGUGAGCUCGAUGAGUAGGGCGGGACACGUGGUAUCCUGUCUGAAUAUGGGGGGACCAUCCUCCAAGGCUAAAUACUCCUGACUGACCGAUAGUGAACCAGUACCGUGAGGGAAAGGCGAAAAGAACCCCGGCGAGGGGAGUGAAAAAGAACCUGAAACCGUGUACGUACAAGCAGUGGGAGCACAGAGCAAUCUGUGUGACUGCGUACCUUUUGUAUAAUGGGUCAGCGACUUAUAUUCUGUAGCAAGGUUAACCGAAUAGGGGAGCCGAAGGGAAACCGAGUCUUAACUGGGCGUUAAGUUGCAGGGUAUAGACCCGAAACCCGGUGAUCUAGCCAUGGGCAGGUUGAAGGUUGGGUAACACUAACUGGAGGACCGAACCGACUAAUGUUGAAAAAUUAGCGGAUGACUUGUGGCUGGGGGUGAAAGGCCAAUCAAACCGGGAGAUAGCUGGUUCUCCCCGAAAGCUAUUUAGGUAGCGCCUCGUGAAUUCAUCUCCGGGGGUAGAGCACUGUUUCGGCAAGGGGGUCAUCCCGACUUACCAACCCGAUGCAAACUGCGAAUACCGGAGAAUGUUAUCACGGGAGACACACGGCGGGUGCUAACGUCCGUCGUGAAGAGGGAAACAACCCAGACCGCCAGCUAAGGUCCCAAAGUCAUGGUUAAGUGGGAAACGAUGUGGGAAGGCCCAGACAGCCAGGAUGUUGGCUUAGAAGCAGCCAUCAUUUAAAGAAAGCGUAAUAGCUCACUGGUCGAGUCGGCCUGCGCGGAAGAUGUAACGGGGCUAAACCAUGCACCGAAGCUGCGGCAGCGACGCUUAUGCGUUGUUGGGUAGGGGAGCGUUCUGUAAGCCUGCGAAGGUGUGCUGUGAGGCAUGCUGGAGGUAUCAGAAGUGCGAAUGCUGACAUAAGUAACGAUAAAGCGGGUGAAAAGCCCGCUCGCCGGAAGACCAAGGGUUCCUGUCCAACGUUAAUCGGGGCAGGGUGAGUCGACCCCUAAGGCGAGGCCGAAAGGCGUAGUCGAUGGGAAACAGGUUAAUAUUCCUGUACUUGGUGUUACUGCGAAGGGGGGACGGAGAAGGCUAUGUUGGCCGGGCGACGGUUGUCCCGGUUUAAGCGUGUAGGCUGGUUUUCCAGGCAAAUCCGGAAAACUAAGGCUGAGGCGUGAUGACGAGGCACUACGGUGCUGAAGCAACAAAUGCCCUGCUUCCAGGAAAAGCCUCUAAGCAUCAGGUAACAUCAAAUCGUACCCCAAACCGACACAGGUGGUCAGGUAGAGAAUACCAAGGCGCUUGAGAGAACUCGGGUGAAGGAACUAGGCAAAAUGGUGCCGUAACUUCGGGAGAAGGCACGCUGAUAUGUAGGUGAAGUCCCUCGCGGAUGGAGCUGAAAUCAGUCGAAGAUACCAGCUGGCUGCAACUGUUUAUUAAAAACACAGCACUGUGCAAACACGAAAGUGGACGUAUACGGUGUGACGCCUGCCCGGUGCCGGAAGGUUAAUUGAUGGGGUUAGCGGUAACGCGAAGCUCUUGAUCGAAGCCCCGGUAAACGGCGGCCGUAACUAUAACGGUCCUAAGGUAGCGAAAUUCCUUGUCGGGUAAGUUCCGACCUGCACGAAUGGCGUAAUGAUGGCCAGGCUGUCUCCACCCGAGACUCAGUGAAAUUGAACUCGCUGUGAAGAUGCAGUGUACCCGCGGCAAGACGGAAAGACCCCGUGAACCUUUACUAUAGCUUGACACUGAACAUUGAGCCUUGAUGUGUAGGAUAGGUGGGAGGCUUAGAAGUGUGGACGCCAGUCUGCAUGGAGCCGACCUUGAAAUACCACCCUUUAAUGUUUGAUGUUCUAACGUGGACCCGUGAUCCGGGUUGCGGACAGUGUCUGGUGGGUAGUUUGACUGGGGCGGUCUCCUCCUAAAGAGUAACGGAGGAGCACGAAGGUUGGCUAAUCCUGGUCGGACAUCAGGAGGUUAGUGCAAUGGCAUAAGCCAGCUUGACUGCGAGCGUGACGGCGCGAGCAGGUGCGAAAGCAGGUCAUAGUGAUCCGGUGGUUCUGAAUGGAAGGGCCAUCGCUCAACGGAUAAAAGGUACUCCGGGGAUAACAGGCUGAUACCGCCCAAGAGUUCAUAUCGACGGCGGUGUUUGGCACCUCGAUGUCGGCUCAUCACAUCCUGGGGCUGAAGUAGGUCCCAAGGGUAUGGCUGUUCGCCAUUUAAAGUGGUACGCGAGCUGGGUUUAGAACGUCGUGAGACAGUUCGGUCCCUAUCUGCCGUGGGCGCUGGAGAACUGAGGGGGGCUGCUCCUAGUACGAGAGGACCGGAGUGGACGCAUCACUGGUGUUCGGGUUGUCAUGCCAAUGGCACUGCCCGGUAGCUAAAUGCGGAAGAGAUAAGUGCUGAAAGCAUCUAAGCACGAAACUUGCCCCGAGAUGAGUUCUCCCUGACUCCUUGAGAGUCCUGAAGGAACGUUGAAGACGACGACGUUGAUAGGCCGGGUGUGUAAGCGCAGCGAUGCGUUGAGCUAACCGGUACUAAUGAACCGUGAGGCUUAACCUU
RNAcentral lists this ribosomal RNA (2908 nucleotides) under Escherichia coli. RNAcentral's name for it is "23S ribosomal RNA". It matches the Rfam family "Bacterial large subunit ribosomal RNA". The record is from RNAcentral. Lineage: Bacteria; Pseudomonadati; Pseudomonadota; Gammaproteobacteria; Enterobacterales; Enterobacteriaceae.